This 835-nucleotide ribosomal RNA is filed under the name Debaryomyces sp. Its description in RNAcentral is "LSU rRNA". It matches the Rfam family "Eukaryotic large subunit ribosomal RNA", at positions 76 to 928 of the family's 3401-position model. Lineage: Eukaryota; Fungi; Ascomycota; Pichiomycetes; Serinales; Debaryomycetaceae. The record is from RNAcentral.
UGCCUUAGUAACGGCGAGUGAAGCGGCAAAAGCUCAAAUUUGAAAUCUGGCACCUUCGGUGUCCGAGUUGUAAUUUGAAGAAGGUAACUUUGGAGUUGGCUCUUGUCUAUGUUCCUUGGAACAGGACGUCACAGAGGGUGAGAAUCCCGUGCGAUGAGAUGCCCAAUUCUAUGUAAAGUGCUUUCGAAGAGUCGAGUUGUUUGGGAAUGCAGCUCUAAGUGGGUGGUAAAUUCCAUCUAAAGCUAAAUAUUGGCGAGAGACCGAUAGCGAACAAGUACAGUGAUGGAAAGAUGAAAAGAACUUUGAAAAGAGAGUGAAAAAGUACGUGAAAUUGUURAAAGGGAANGGGCUUGAGAUCAGACUKGGUAUUUUGCGAUCCUUUCCUUCUKGGUUGGGUUCCUCGCAGCUUACUGGGCCAGCAUCGGUUUGGAUGGUAGGAUAAUGACUAAGGAAUGUGGCUCUACUUCGGUGGAGUGUUAUAGCCUUGGUUGAUACUCCCUGUCUAGACCGAGGACUGCGUCUUUUGACUAGGAUGUUGGCAUAAUGAUCUUAAGCCACCCGUCUUGAAACACGGACCAAGGAGUCUAACGUCUAUGCGAGUGUUUGGGUGUAAAACCCGUACGCGUAAUGAAAGUGAACGUAGGUGAGAGCUCUUAAGAGUGCAUCAUCGACCGAUCCUGAUGUCUUCGGAUGGAUUUGAGUAAGAGCAUAGCUGUUGGGACCCGAAAGAUGGUGAACUAUGCCUGAAUAGGGUGAAGCCAGAGGAAACUCUGGUGGAGGCUCGUAGCGGUUCUGACGUGCAAAUCGAUCGUCGAAUUUGGGUAUAGGGGCGAAA